UACGGGGGGGGGCAAGCGUUGUUCGGAAUUACUGGGCGUAAAGGGCUCGUAGGCGGCCAACUAAGUCAAACGUGAAAUCCCUCGGCUUAACCGGGGAACUGCGCUUGAUACUGGAUGGCUUGAGAUUGGGAGAGGGAUGCGGAAUUCCAGGUGUAGCGGUGAAAUGCGUAGAUAUCUGGAGGAACACCGGUGGCGAAGGCGGCAUCCUGGACCAACACUGACGCUGAGUGAGCGAAAGCCAGGGGAGCAAACGGG
This 255-nucleotide ribosomal RNA is filed under the name uncultured bacterium. RNAcentral's name for it is "partial 16S ribosomal RNA". It matches the Rfam family "Bacterial small subunit ribosomal RNA", at positions 524 to 776 of the family's 1533-position model. The record is from RNAcentral.